AGAGUUUGAUCCUGGCUCAGAACGACCGCUGGCGGCAGGCCUAACACAUGCAAGUCGAGCGAUCCUUUCGGGGAUAGCGGCGGACGGGUGAGUAACGCGUGGGAAUGUGCCCUUCUCUACGGAAUAGCCUCGGGAAACUGGGAGUAAUACCGUAUACGCCCCUUGGGGGAAAGAUUUAUCGGAGAAGGAUCAGCCCGCGUUGGAUUAGGUAGUUGGUGGGGUAAUGGCCUACCAAGCCUACGAUCCAUAGCUGGUUUGAGAGGAUGAUCAGCCACACUGGGACUGAGACACGGCCCAGACUCCUACGGGAGGCAGCAGUGGGGAAUCUUAGACAAUGGGGGCAACCCUGAUCUAGCCAUGCCGCGUGAGUGAUGAAGGCCUUAGGGUUGUAAAGCUCUUUUGGCGGGGACGAUAAUGACGGUACCCGCAGAAUAAGCUCCGGCUAACUUCGUGCCAGCAGCCGCGGUAAUACGAAGGGAGCUAGCGUUGUUCGGAAUCACUGGGCGUAAAGCGCACGUAGGCGGAUUGCUAAGUCAGGGGUGAAAUCCCGGGGCUCAACCUCGGAACUGCCUUUGAUACUGACAAUCUAGAGUCCGAUAGAGGUGGGUGGAAUUCCUAGUGUAGAGGUGAAAUUCGUAGAUAUUAGGAAGAACACCGGUGGCGAAGGCGGCCCACUGGAUCGGUACUGACGCUGAGGUG
Molecule: ribosomal RNA, 699 nt
Filed under: uncultured bacterium
Lineage: Bacteria
Description: bacterial SSU rRNA
Rfam family: Bacterial small subunit ribosomal RNA
Source: RNAcentral